Centropristis striata (black sea bass) is the source of this 1597-nucleotide non-coding RNA. The record is from the annotation of a RefSeq genome assembly. Lineage: Eukaryota; Metazoa; Chordata; Actinopteri; Perciformes; Serranidae.
AUGCUGGGGACCCUCUGCACUCUCAUCACUGCUCUAACAUAUGUUGAUGCAGUGAUCGUGCUGACUCAGACGCCUGCUGUCCACACAGUUUCUACAGGACAAGAGGUUGUUCUCAACUGCAAUGUUGAGAGGCAUUAUGGGAAUAUAGUCAGUUGGUAUAAACAGGUUCCUGGUGAAGCUCCUCAGUAUGUUCUUGGAUUGAGGUAUUCUAGUUCACCCAGCUUUGGAUCAGGAUUCUCCUCAGAUCGAUUCAACUCUAAACACACAUCAAACAUAGAUUUCCAGUUCAUCAUUAAGCGUGCAGAGGCAGGAGACUCUGCUCAGUAUUUCUGUAGCAUGUGGGACGACUCUGGUAACGAGCGGGUAUCACAGUGAUUCACACUAUGACAAAAACCUCAGUCACAGGUGUAAUAAACUCUGAUGAAUUCUGGGAGCAUUUUCAUGAAAGUUAUUAUCAGUUUGUUGCAGAUAUUCAGAAUUAACAAAAGCAUGACAACAGAAGAUGCAGCAGAAGAUGCAGGAACAUUCCUCAGGUCCAGCAGUGUUUAGGAACAACAUGAGACUGAUGGAGUGAAUGAGAUGUUGACAGUGAAAGUUGGUCUCAACAGCAUGUUUCAGUUCCACUCCCCUCAUUAGUGAGAGUCAGGAGGUGUUUGUACGGCCAUGUAUACAAACUGAAUCACUGUGGUAUUCGGACAAGGAACCAAGCUGAUUGUGACAAGUAAGUGGUUUUUAACUCAUUAUAAAACAGGAUAGAUUUUCUGUUUCCGAUAUAUAUUUAGAGAAAUUAAUAAAUUCAUAUGUUGCUUACAGUUGAAAAAAUCUUUACAUGUUCUGUAAAUAAUAGAUGGAUUUAUUUUUUACAUCUGCUUUGAUACCAGGCUGUGUGUUUGAAGGCAAUGGAUCAAUCUGAAAAUUAUAACAAUAUUUUAAAUAUUUUCUACAGAUUUAUAUGAUGGUUGUGGAAUAUUUAAUAGCUGUGCAACACUUGUUCCUUUUUAUUUUCAUUACGUAUGACAAGUUUUAACAUGAUAAAAGUCAAUGUUAAAUGUUCCAUCAGUAGGUGUUUAUGCUGUGAUAUGAAUAAUAAAUCACUGUGAUUAUAAUAUUUAUUUAUUAAUGUUUUGUCGUUUAGGUAUAAUUUUGAAUUUACCUAAACAUUACUGUUGCUGUGUGGAAGGUUUUUUUUUCAUGUUAGUUAGACAGACAGCACUUCAUUUUUCACAGUGGUUGAACAGCACUUUUAUGACACAGAAUGUGACUGUAUGCAUUAUUUUGCAACUUAGAAAGUAUAAUAAACUAAACACAAUAUUUAAAACUAUAUUUUUUGUUUUUUAAAAAGAACCCAGUUUUAUUUGAGAUGAUGAUUUCUGAAUAUUUAUUGCUGAUGUAUCUUUUCUUUUGUAUUUCCAGCAAAACUAAUGCACAAAUCUGUGACUGUAAAGAUUUGUAUGAAUUAUUUUCUUCCUAGUUAUUUGAUAAAGGUCCUGUGUGUGUUUUCAGGCUCCAGCCUCCCUCGUCCUGUCCUGACUCUCUUCCCUCCGUCCAGUGCUGAGCUCCAGUCCAACAAAGCCUCUCUGGUCUGUCUGUCCAGUCA